GGUUGCGAACCUACUGCAGCUGCGAGGGACGGUGGCGUCUCCAGGCGAGCGCUUCACGUGUCGGUUACCCCCUGGAAGAAAAUGGGGAGGUCCUGGCCCAAGUGUGGCAGAGUAUUCAUUCCUCCUGGAUUUCUGAAGCAACCUCAUGCAGAAACAGAGGCAUGGAAAGGUUGAGACUUACCUAGGUCACAACUACUUAGUGACAAGCCAGCAAGUCCAGCAUUCCCCCCAAAAAGCUUUUUUUUUUUUUUUUUUUUGUGUGUGUGUGUGUGACCUUCGCCAGCGGCCGGGGAUCGAACCCCUCACAGCCCAGCGCUCAACCGCUGUGCCACCAGGGGAGGCCCCCAAACACCUCUUGAGCCUAGUCUUCCCUCUUCUUCCUAUAACACUUUGCCCCAGACCCCAUCAUCCAUAUGUAUAAUAUCGUUGUAGGCUCCAGCUGGUCUCCCAGGAUAUAUUUGUCUCCUUCUUUAAUCAUUUCUUCUCACUAUGUAAAGAUUUACCAUGGGAGCUUAAUGGUAGGUUUAGAAGAGGCUUACUUUAUAAUUGCUUAUGUUUUAUAUAUAAUUGCUUAUGUUUUAUGAUUUUUUGAUGUAUUUAAUAUAAAUGUUUUAAAUGAUUUAUUUAUAUCUCCAGUAGCAAGUGCCUUACACUGUACACAGUAUUUGCACUCAAAAAGUAUUUGUUGAACGAAGAAUGACUAAAUAGUAGGUCCAGGAGCUGACUCCAAAAUCCUGCAUGAUGAGGGAAUCAAGGGAUUUAUAAUAUGUCACCCAUGGCCUCCUGACCUUAAGGUCUACUAGAGAGAAUGGCUGGAGAAUGUGGCUAAGAACAUAAGGGUGUGGAGAACUGAAGACCCCAGCAAAAGUUAGAAUGCUCCCACGUCAGCUGGGAUCAGGGAUGAUGUGGAGGGAGUGCGAAAUUGAGACAUCAGACUCUGAAGAAAUUCUACUUCUAUCCUGAUGCGGUUUUACCAAUCAAGAAAAUUGGGGUUAGGGAUCCCAAAGCUAACUUCCUUAAAUGAGUCAAAAUGUUUUCCCAACUACCACUAUAAACAAGAAAUCUUUCUUUUAAAUACCAAAUCAAGUUCCUUAAGUGUUACAAUGAAUUCUAACUUGAUGACUUUUAUUCUUACUACUUACUAUUUGAACUUGAAACGGUGACCUAUAAAUUUGUUUAAAUAAUAAAAUACCU
This is a long non-coding RNA of Talpa occidentalis (Iberian mole), 1194 nucleotides long. RefSeq lists it as uncharacterized. The transcript is spliced from 4 exons. NCBI's taxonomy places the organism in Eukaryota, Metazoa, Chordata, Mammalia, Eulipotyphla, Talpidae. The record is from RefSeq and is a predicted model, not a curated record.